CUGUCUGAAUAUGGGGGGCCCAUCCUCCAAGGCUAAAUACUCCUGACUGACCGAUAGUGAACCAGUACCGUGAGGGAAAGGCGAAAAGAACCCCGGCGAGGGGAGUGAAAAAGAACCUGAAACCGUGUACGUACAAGCAGUGGGAGCACGCUUAGGCGUGUGACUGCGUACCUUUUGUAUAAUGGGUCAGCGACUUAUAUUCUGUAGCAAGGUUAACCGAAUAGGGGAGCCGAAGGGAAACCGAGUCUUAACUGGGCGUUAAGUUGCAGGGUAUAGACCCGAAACCCGGUGAUCUAGCCAUGGGCAGGUUGAAGGUUGGGUAACACUAACUGGAGGACCGAACCGACUAAUGUUGAAAAAUUAGCGGAUGACUUGUGGCUGGGGGUGAAAGGCCAAUCAAACCGGGAGAUAGCUGGUUCUCCCCGAAAGCUAUUUAGGUAGCGCCUCGUGAAUUCAUCUCCGGGGGUAGAGCACUGUUUCGGCAAGGGGGUCAUCCCGACUUACCAACCCGAUGCAAACUGCGAAUACCGGAGAAUGUUAUCACGGGAGACACACGGCGGGUGCUAACGUCCGUCGUGAAGAGGGAAACAACCCAGACCGCCAGCUAAGGUCCCAAAGUCAUGGUUAAGUGGGAAACGAUGUGGGAAGGCCCAGACAGCCAGGAUGUUGGCUUAGAAGCAGCCAUCAUUUAAAGAAAGCGUAAUAGCUCACUGGUCGAGUCGGCCUGCGCGGAAGAUGUAACGGGGCUAAACCAUGCACCGAAGCUGCGGCAGCGACGCUUAUGCGUUGUUGGGUAGGGGAGCGUUCUGUAAGCCUGCGAAGGUGUGCUGUGAGGCAUGCUGGAGGUAUCAGAAGUGCGAAUGCUGACAUAAGUAACGAUAAAGCGGGUGAAAAGCCCGCUCGCCGGAAGACCAAGGGUUCCUGUCCAACGUUAAUCGGGGCAGGGUGAGUCGACCCCUAAGGCGAGGCCGAAAGGCGUAGUCGAUGGGAAACAGGUUAAUAUUCCUGUACUUGGUGUUACUGCGAAGGGGGGACGGAGAAGGCUAUGUUGGCCGGGCGACGGUUGUCCCGGUUUAAGCGUGUAGGCUGGUUUUCCAGGCAAAUCCGGAAAAUCAAGGCUGAGGCGUGAUGACGAGGCACUACGGUGCUGAAGCAACAAAUGCCCUGCUUCCAGGAAAAGCCUCUAAGCAUCAGGUAACAUCAAAUCGUACCCCAAACCGACACAGGUGGUCAGGUAGAGAAUACCAAGGCGCUUGAGAGAACUCGGGUGAAGGAACUAGGCAAAAUGGUGCCGUAACUUCGGGAGAAGGCACGCUGAUAUGUAGGUGAAGUCCCUUGCGGAUGGAGCUGAAAUCAGUCGAAGAUACCAGCUGGCUGCAACUGUUUAUUAAAAACACAGCACUGUGCAAACACGAAAGUGGACGUAUACGGUGUGACGCCUGCCCGGUGCCGGAAGGUUAAUUGAUGGGGUCAGCGCAAGCGAAGCUCUUGAUCGAAGCCCCGGUAAACGGCGGCCGUAACUAUAACGGUCCUAAGGUAGCGAAAUUCCUUGUCGGGUAAGUUCCGACCUGCACGAAUGGCGUAAUGAUGGCCAGGCUGUCUCCACCCGAGACUCAGUGAAAUUGAACUCGCUGUGAAGAUGCAGUGUACCCGCGGCAAGACGGAAAGACCCCGUGAACCUUUACUAUAGCUUGACACUGAACAUUGAGCCUUGAUGUGUAGGAUAGGUGGGAGGCUUUGAAGUG
This 1745-nucleotide ribosomal RNA is filed under the name Shigella sonnei. RNAcentral describes it as "partial 23S ribosomal RNA". It matches the Rfam family "Bacterial large subunit ribosomal RNA", at positions 434 to 2164 of the family's 2925-position model. The record is from RNAcentral. Lineage: Bacteria; Pseudomonadati; Pseudomonadota; Gammaproteobacteria; Enterobacterales; Enterobacteriaceae.